GAUGAAGAACGCAGCGAAAUGCGAUAAGUAAUGUGAAUUGCAGAAUUCAGUGAAUCAUCGAAUCUUUGAACGCACAUUGCGCCCCCUGGUAUUCCGGGGGGCAUGCCUGUUCGAGCGUCAUUUCACCACUCUAGCCUCGCUUGGUAUUGGGCAACGCGGUCCGCCGCGUGCCUCAAAUCGACCGGCUGGGUCUUCUGUCCCCUAAGCGUUGUGGAAACUAUUCGCUAAAGGGUGUUCGGGAGGCUACGCCGUAAAACAACCCCAUUUCUAAGGUUGACCUCGGAUCAGGUAGGGAUACCCGCUGAACUUAAGCAUAUCAAUAAGCGGAGGA
RNAcentral lists this unclassified non-coding RNA (331 nucleotides) under soil metagenome. RNAcentral describes it as "partial contains 5.8S ribosomal RNA, internal transcribed spacer 2, and large subunit ribosomal RNA". The stretch from base 1 to 120 matches the Rfam family "5.8S ribosomal RNA", at positions 35 to 154 of the family's 154-position model. The record is from RNAcentral.